AAUCUAUGAUGCGGACACAAUCUAAGCAUACUUUUAAAUUUAUCCCACACAUCAUAAAGAGCUUCCAUAUCAAUCUAUUUGAAGCUAGCAAUCUAAUUUUUCAUAUG
Small nucleolar RNA from Zingiber officinale, 107 nucleotides. NCBI's taxonomy places the organism in Eukaryota, Viridiplantae, Streptophyta, Magnoliopsida, Zingiberales, Zingiberaceae. The record is from RefSeq and is a predicted model, not a curated record.